AACACUUCUCAGCUUCUUGAAGACUAAGAUCAAGUGUAGUAUCUGUUCUUAUUAAUUUAAUUGCUGAUAGGUUCUCCAUGUGAGAACUGGAUGUGAAAUGAAUUUUUUGCAGCAGGGGCUGGGAAAAGGAGCUUGCUCUGUCCACUCCAUGAAUCGGUCCAGUACUGCAGUACCUCCAUGGAGUGGUGCACCUCCU
Small nuclear RNA from Pelodiscus sinensis (Chinese soft-shelled turtle), 196 nucleotides. Its record names the gene U2. It matches the Rfam family "U2 spliceosomal RNA". Rfam says of the family: U2 is a small nuclear RNA (snRNA) component of the spliceosome (involved in pre-mRNA splicing). Complementary binding between U2 snRNA (in an area lying towards the 5' end but 3' to hairpin I) and the branchpoint sequence (BPS) of the intron results the bulging out of an unpaired adenosine, on the BPS, which initiates a nucleophilic attack at the intronic 5' splice site, thus starting the first of two transesterification reactions that mediate splicing. Lineage: Eukaryota; Metazoa; Chordata; Testudines; Trionychidae. The record is from Ensembl.